RNAcentral lists this ribosomal RNA (335 nucleotides) under uncultured Mucorales. RNAcentral describes it as "eukaryotic LSU rRNA". The stretch from base 280 to 335 matches the Rfam family "Eukaryotic large subunit ribosomal RNA", at positions 1 to 56 of the family's 3401-position model. The record is from RNAcentral. Lineage: Eukaryota; Fungi; Mucoromycota; Mucoromycetes; Mucorales.
CAUAGUAGUGGUGAAUCAUCGAAUCUUUGAACGCACCUUGCACUUAAAUAGUCAAUAUUUAAGUAUACCUGUUUGAGUAUCAUAAACAUUUAUCCAAUUUAUUGGGAUUUGAGAGAUUAGUGUUACGGCGUUAUCUCUUUAAAUGUAGUUAGGAAGUCAAGGUAAAGAGCGCUUUAUUCUUGGAUGAGGAUAUUUACUCUAGUAGUAAACAAAUCAUUGGAGAGUGGAGAGGCGAUAUUUUUGAAUCCUUCUGUCUCUUGCAGACAACUAGUACAAAUGUGAUCUCAAAUCAGGCAAGACUACCCGCCGAACUUAAGCAUAUCAAUAAGCGGAGG